AAAUGGUAAAACCCGAGGUGUUUUUGGAACAGACUGCAGACGUCAUUGGUAAGACCAAAAUGUAGAAGGAAUCCUGACAGAACUUACAUCUGCAAGGGGAAUUAUGCUGCAACCUGGGCAGAGAAGAAGUUUCUCCAAAAGCUCAGAUCCUUCCUCAUUUCCUGACAUCUAAGAAAGGUCCAGAGGCAUAAAACGAAAUAAGCUCAGAGUAGAUGUUGGCAUCAUUGGAAGAGUUGGGAAUGGCAGAUGUGAAGUGCUAUGAACUGACUGCAAAUCCCAUUCCCCAUCCCCCUGCACUGCUUGACGGGAAGCAAAAAAAUUUAAAGUGAAGUUGAACCUGAGAAGAAGAGAGAGGAUUUUGGACGUGGCUGAAGCAUGACUGUUAAAGGAACAUCUUGCAGUGGCCCUUUCCUUGCACGGUUGUGAAGACCAAGCAUAUGAAUUAAUGGAAACAGAAGACACAUGAAUAGAUUUGCAUAGAAGUUGCAUGGUACAGCAAGUUAACCUUUGUGUACCACUAGUUAGGCACCACUGACUUUUAAAUCUUUAACAAAGAUGCCAUUUCUGAAGUCAAAACUUUCAAAUCUACAUAAACUCUGUAGAAGCCAGGUGCAACUAUUAUCAAUUGCUGUGGAAUUGAGCUACUCCAGCUUAACAGACAGCUCAUUUCCUGUAAGAAACCAGGCAAAUACCAAUCUAGAAGAAUUUUCUGUUAUUGACUUGCAGAGAAACCUGCCAGGAAAUUUUCAUUUGCUCAGCCUCCAUCCCUCGGAGUAGCAUGCUGUGGCUUUUCUGGUUUUAAUAACUCAUCUUUGUGAAUUAUUAUUGCUGCAUUUGAAACAUAGGACACAGAGAUUCCAAUCUUAAUUAGUCAUCUGAUGCACUGCAACUGUAAAUGGGAUAAUUUUCAGGAAAUUAACAUUCCCAAAUUGUGCAGUCAAAUAUAUUUCUUUGUUAUAAGAUGUGGUCAGUGUAGCUGCAAUUGUGCCACCAAGUCCUUGGGAUUUUUUGAGGGUCUUGUAGUACCCUCAGGCAUGUGGUAUGAGAGUGUCAGGUUGUAUCAUUUGAAAAGGUCAAUGAAAGUAAAAUGCUGUAUUUUUCCUUUUGUAGCAAAAAAGCUGAAAACUGUAAACAUUGCAUGCAUUCACCUCUUUUUUUUUAAAUCUUUUAUUAAUAAAACAAUCUAAUAUUUCUAGGGAAUCAUGAAAAGUUGAAUGUGCAUCACUGCUGCGUACAGGUACCAGCUUGUCCUGACAGAUGAAGAAAAAUCCUAGGCAUGCAGGUGCCCAUUUUACAUAUUUAGGCCAUUUUUUUUACCCAGCCAGACUUCCAAGAAUUGAGCCUGUGUAUACUAAUGAGCCUCUAAACUGAUGAUGCAUCUAUUUGUGAGCCAAAAAUUCUGCCUGUAGAAACUUUGAUUGGAGGUUCUUUGAAGAGCUGGAGCCAUAAAAGUUGCAUCUGGAAUUGGAUAUCAAAUAGGGAGAAAAGGUGGAAGGCUUCUGUCUCAGAUAUGUAACCCUUUAA
Catharus ustulatus (Swainson's thrush) is the source of this 1524-nucleotide long non-coding RNA. RefSeq lists it as uncharacterized. The record is from RefSeq and is a predicted model, not a curated record. Lineage: Eukaryota; Metazoa; Chordata; Aves; Passeriformes; Turdidae. The transcript has 4 exons.